Papaver somniferum (opium poppy) is the source of this 1637-nucleotide long non-coding RNA. RefSeq lists it as uncharacterized. Lineage: Eukaryota; Viridiplantae; Streptophyta; Magnoliopsida; Ranunculales; Papaveraceae. The transcript is spliced from 5 exons. The record is from RefSeq and is a predicted model, not a curated record.
GCAACGAUAUAGCAAGAUGAUAAACAAAGAGCAAGUUCAGGAGUCAUUGACACAUUGGAACCCAAAUUUCCUUGGGAAGGAUGGAAAAGGCAGAGCAAGGGAAAUCACAAAGGUUUCCAAGAAUGCGUGAUAAUGGGUUUCCCAAAGGUCUUUCUCGAGAAAUUUCUGUGCUCAGGUAGCCUUGAUAGAAGCAAAUACCAAUGCCGCACUAUACUAUCCACAAAGGUAAUUGUGAAACUUUAGUUCUAUAAGUUAGUUGGGAAAUUGGUCAUUUCUCUUAAUUUGCACAGUAGCUCGGUGUAUAACAAUAGCUUUUUUAGCUUAUUUAUUUGUCUGCCUUAAUGAAUUAUUUUUACAGUACAUGGGUUUCUUUUACUUUUAGGUAUGAUGUAUUCAGCUAUGGAUCAUACUAUGAAAACUUAAUUUUCGUACUGACUGAUUGUUAGCAUAAUGGCUAUUGAAUUUUCGGAGGGCUUACUUAGUCUGAUUAUGGUUACUCCGAAGCGGUGCAGUAAUUAAAAUUCAUCCCCAAAAUGGUGGGGUCGCAAAUUCAAAACUCUAUCUCGAUCUGCUAGGUGAACCUGAUUGUAUAUAUUAUUUUAGAACAGGAUUAUGUGGAUAUGGUAACAAUUGCCGCUUAAUCAUCCUUCAUAUCCAGGACAGGUAACAAAAGCAGUUCACAUCCCAUUCAAUUUAAGUAAAAGCCAAAUUUAGAUGUGAAUAGCAAUCGCUUUCAGAUUCUUUUGCAUAUAAUCGCCUUAGUGUUAUAUUAGUUUGUUACUGAAACUCUGUGGAUCUUUCUAAUAGUAGCAUUGAAAUUGCCAUUAUGUUGUUACACGUUUCGCAGUACAUAGGUGAACUACCGAAAAUACAUGGAAUCCUAUAAAGAUCAUUUUUACACAUUAGUAAUAAAAUUUUCGACCAACAUGGUUGACUGCAUCUUCGGUACCCAUAGGUACAAAACUUACAUAGAUUCAUUGGAUCUGGAGCUGGAAUUGGUUCUAAAGUUUUACUGGGUUCUUCACCAUACCUAGUGUAAUGCGUCUGCCUGAAGGUUAUGAGAUUUUUGCAUUUAAAUAAUUUAGAAUUUGGAGUUGUCGGAAAAUGACAAUUUGGAUUCAAUACCCAGUGAUCAACUCUUAAAAGAUGAAGUUUGUGCUGAUCAACUGAAGAUCAAGAAUGGGUUCUUACUCAAGAAGAUGGAUUCUAUUGCACUUAUACAGUUAAUGAAAAUGCCUACUUCAGAUUUAUCAUAGGAUGCAGAUUCUAUUAAGAUAUUAGUUUUACUUAUACGGCGUUGAUGGAGCUACUGGAGCUAAGUUCAGGUGUACAAGCAGAGAAUCAAUUCAACUUCUUUAAGGUAGCAGUUGUUCUACCCUAAUAGGGUAUACUGUCGAUGAGAUUGUUACACGGUAAUGGUAGGCUACUUAUCAAAUAUUUUUGUUAUAUUUUUUUUAUUUUUUAUGGCAUUUUGGUUCUUUGUGGUGCUAAAAUAGAAGUUGAAUUGUUGUCACAGAUGUUACAUGUGUGUUGUUAGACUAUCUGAGUUCCAUAUAUAGUUCAUGUGUUUUUAAUGUAACCAAGAGCUGAUAAACAAAUGAGUUAUGUGCUCAAUUUUUGGGUAUCCUGUUAUGGGU